GUGCUCGCUUCGGCAGCACCCAUACUAAAAUUGGAACGGUACAGAGAGGGUUAUCAUGGCCCCUGUGAAAGGAUGACAUGCAAAUUCGUGAAGCGUUCCCUAUUUUU
Molecule: small nuclear RNA, 107 nt
Organism: Meriones unguiculatus (Mongolian gerbil)
Lineage: Eukaryota; Metazoa; Chordata; Mammalia; Rodentia; Muridae
Source: Ensembl